RNAcentral lists this ribosomal RNA (75 nucleotides) under Pelobates cultripes (western spadefoot toad). RNAcentral's name for it is "SSU_rRNA_eukarya". The record is from RNAcentral. Lineage: Eukaryota; Metazoa; Chordata; Amphibia; Anura; Pelobatidae.
CAUAUCAACUUUCUAUGCCAUUGACUGCACCUACCAUGGUGACCACGGGUAACGGGGAAUCAGGGUUUGAUUCCG